UCCCGUUUGAAUGGUUUUACACUAGUAAUUUUGGGGCCGUUUAUAGCUUAUUGUUCGGUGUGAACCAAAGCUCCAAGUUGAAGGUCGUACAAUGACUUAUAAUGGUUUACUUUUAUAAAUUGUUAUUUGGAUGGAGAACUGUCUCACUGGCAGUCACACCACAUCUUCCUAUAUCUAUUAAGUCAUGCCACUUUAGUUGAGUUUCCU
RNAcentral lists this long non-coding RNA (207 nucleotides) under Mytilus galloprovincialis (Mediterranean mussel). Lineage: Eukaryota; Metazoa; Mollusca; Bivalvia; Mytilida; Mytilidae. The record is from RNAcentral.